AUGGAGGGCCCUUGGGAGGAAGGAGGGGAUGCGGACAAUGUGUGGAUGAAGAUGGCGACUUGCAUUCGUAAGGUGGCCUCGGAGGAGUUUGGAGUGUCCAGGGGAAGGAGAAGCGAAGAUAAGGAUACCUGGUGGUGGAAUGAUGAUGUCCAGAAGGCGCUUAAAGAGAAGAAAGAUUGCUUCAGACGCCUAUACCUGGAUAGGAGUGCAGACAACAUAGAGAAGUACAAGAUGGCGAAGAAGGCCGCAAAGCGAGCUGUUGGUGAAGCAGGGGGUCGGGCAUAUGAGGACCUCUACCAACGGUUAGGCACGAAGGAAGGUGAAAGGGACAUCUAUAAGAUGGCUAAGAUCCGGGAGAGGAAGACGAGGGAUAUUGGCCAAGUCAAAUGCAUCAAGGACGGAGCAGGCCAACUCUUGGUGAAGGACGAAGAGAUUAGGCAUAGAUGGCGGGAGUACUUCGACAAGCUGUUCAAUGGGGAGAAUGAGAGUUCUACCAUUGAACUGAAUGACUCCUUUGAUGAGACCAGCAUGCGUUUUGUGCGGCGCAUCCAGGAGUCUGAGGUGAAGGAGGCUUAA
RNAcentral lists this ribosomal RNA (576 nucleotides) under Triticum aestivum (bread wheat). RNAcentral describes it as "partial small subunit ribosomal RNA". The record is from RNAcentral. Lineage: Eukaryota; Viridiplantae; Streptophyta; Magnoliopsida; Poales; Poaceae.